AGCUUCGGAUUGUAUGAACUCCUCACAUUCAAAGCAGCCCCGCCUGCUGAUUAGCUUUAAAUAUCAGGAGCGACGCCGAGGUCUCCAAAUUUGGAGGGAUUGUACCCUGCCACCUCUGUGGAGAACCAUCAGUUCUUGAUUUCCAAAC
This 148-nucleotide long non-coding RNA is filed under the name Ictidomys tridecemlineatus (thirteen-lined ground squirrel). Its description in RNAcentral is "lncRNA (ENSSTOG00000032326.1)". The record is from RNAcentral. Lineage: Eukaryota; Metazoa; Chordata; Mammalia; Rodentia; Sciuridae.